GGACUACUAGGGUAUCUAAUCCCAUUCGCUCCCCACGCUCUCGUCCUAGCAGUGUCAGGUGGCACCCAGAAGCCUGCCUACGCUAUUGGUGUUCCAAACGAUAUCAACGCAUUUCACUACUACACCGUUUGUUCCAGCUUCCUCUUUGCCCCUCUAGUCCUGAAGUUUCAAAGGACAGUUACGAAGUUAAGCUUCGCAAUUUCACCUCUGACUUUCAGAACCACCUAUCGGUACGCUUUACGCCCAAUGAUUCCGGAUAACGCUUGAGGUCUCUGUAUUACCGCGGCUGCUGGCAC
Molecule: ribosomal RNA, 296 nt
Filed under: uncultured bacterium
Lineage: Bacteria
Description: partial 16S ribosomal RNA
Source: RNAcentral